CGCGUAGGUGGUUAGUGCAAGUCUGAGGUGGAAUCCCAGGGCUUAACCCUGGAACUGCCUUGGAAACUGCACUACUUGAGUCAGUGAGGGGAGGGUAGAAUUCCUGGUGUAGCGGUGAAAUGCGUAGAUAUCAGGAGGAAGGCCGGUGGCGAAGGCGGCCCUCUGGCGCUGAACUGACACUGAGGCGCGAAAGCGUGGGUAGCAAACAGGAUUAGAUACCCUGGUAGUCCACGCCCUAAACGGUGGGUACUAGGUGUAGGGCUCGUAAGGGUUCUGUGCCGAAGCGAAAGCAUUAAGUACCCCGCCUGGGGAGUACGGGCCGCAAGGUUGAA
Molecule: ribosomal RNA, 332 nt
Filed under: uncultured bacterium
Lineage: Bacteria
Description: bacterial SSU rRNA
Rfam family: Bacterial small subunit ribosomal RNA
Source: RNAcentral